UUCUCAAAAGUUAAGUUGCACUUUUCUUAAUCUCAAACUCUACUCUGCAAAUAUUCCAAUUUCAGCUUUUUUCCUCUCUCUGCUAAACUAAGCCACCCCAUUAAUUAGCUCUUCAAUUCUACAACUAACAUCACCUACUGUCCAUGCCUUUUGCUGCUGCAUCAAACCUUUGAUCUCACCUCCAAAUUGGCUUCCAUCUCAUAAUUCCUCCAACAUCACAUCGCUGGCUAUGGCUUUUGCCGCUGUAACCAUUUUAAUGGAUACGCUCCACCAACACUUCCUCCAAUCCACUCCUCGUUUCCCUCUUCGCAACAAAACAAAGGUCAGAUUACUUUACAAACAUCUUUCUUCUUUGCAAACCUCUCUU
Molecule: long non-coding RNA, 367 nt
Organism: Ipomoea nil (Japanese morning glory)
Lineage: Eukaryota; Viridiplantae; Streptophyta; Magnoliopsida; Solanales; Convolvulaceae
Exons: 2
Source: RefSeq, a predicted model, not a curated record